AUAACUCUAACUCUGUUCUGCUUUAUAAAGGUGAAAAUAUAAAAUACCAUUAUGUACUACAUAAUAUGAUUACUUAUUCAGCAUUUUCCAUAAUAUUAAUCGUUAUAUGGAUCAAUUAUCAUUUUAAGUUCGCGGUGAUUUUGUCAAUAAUCUUCGCCUCUGUACGUAGUGAUAGUGGUUUUUCAAUCAACAUCAACUCAACUAUCAAGUAAGUUCAUAUGAACAUCAUUAGUAUUAGGCUUUAGUUUUGGAAAAAGAAACCGAAAAUUACUUGACAUCAAAAAUUUGAAUUUGAAAAACCAGUGUCAGGGAAGAUUAUCAUCAAAUAAAAAUAAUAUAAUCAGGGAAGAACGGAAAGAUGACGAAUUGACGAUCAAUUGAUAAAUACAAGUUGAACGAAGUACCGCCGACAAUACCCGACGGCUUCCGAGUUUUUGCACCGGAAAAAAAAACUAGUGCACUUUAACGUCUAGUCCCCUCCCCUCUGUUUCCUUUCUGAAGUGAAACACAUCAGUCGGCUCGAAAAUUCUCUUUGUAGCUGGGUGACCGGAAGGUGCAAAAAAAUGGAAUAAUCAUUUUUUUUAUGUUUAAAUUUGUUUUCCGACAAAUAAAAACAAAUAUUUUCGAAUUU
Molecule: long non-coding RNA, 631 nt
Organism: Planococcus citri (citrus mealybug)
Lineage: Eukaryota; Metazoa; Arthropoda; Insecta; Hemiptera; Pseudococcidae
Exons: 2
Source: RefSeq, a predicted model, not a curated record